UACAGAGGGUGCAAGCGUUAAUCGGAAUUACUGGGCGUAAAGCGUACGUAGGCGGUUUGGUAAGUCGGAUGUGAAAUCCCCGGGCUCAACCUGGGAAUUGCAUUCGAGACUGCCUGGCUAGAAUGCGGUAGAGGGAAGCGGAAUUUCCGGUGUAGCAGUGAAAUGCGUAGAUAUCGGAAGGAACAUCAGUGGCGAAAGCGGCUUCCUGGACCAGCAUUGACGCUCAGGUACGAAAGCGUGGGGAGCAAACAGG
RNAcentral lists this ribosomal RNA (253 nucleotides) under uncultured bacterium. RNAcentral describes it as "partial 16S ribosomal RNA". It matches the Rfam family "Bacterial small subunit ribosomal RNA", at positions 524 to 776 of the family's 1533-position model. The record is from RNAcentral.